AGUUAACCAGCUCAGCAAACCAGAGCCUGAGAUAAUGGGCUAAGCUCUUUGUGUGUCUUGAAAGAAAACUGGUUGCAAUCCAGUAGGAAGCUACAACUUGGUGCCAGACUCCUAAGCUACCUCCCAAAGAGACGAGGAUAGAAGGAACCAUCCAUCUUGAGGUUCACAUUCCAAAGAGAAGUCUCUGAGGCCUUCAAGAAGGACAUUCUGGGAAGUGAAAGUGAGACACCAACCACGGCCUCACUCUGUGCUCUUGGGUGUCAGGAGGUACACCAAAAUAGUAUCAGACCUGCACAGAACUGAAGAGAUGCUAAUCUUGCUCCUGUAUCUCCUUACUCUUUGGCUGGGAAAACACCCAGCAUAAUGUUACCUUUUGGACUUUAAAUGGACAGUAUUUAAAAGGAUUAUCCCCAUGCCUGUGUCAAUUGGACUGGGAAGAAUUUGAAAAAAUUAAUAACCACUGAUCUAAACUGAUGAACAGAGCAUACACAUCAGGCACAGGCAAAAAGCACUUACACCACAACAAAUGAGCAAGGUCAAAGCAAUUCAUUGAAGAAAUGAACUCUCAGGUGUGCAAAGGAAGGAGAGGCCAGGUGUCUCCAGGAGUUUUGCAGAAAGUGGUUACAGGAAGAGCCUAAAACAGAGAAACCAAGCCAAUACCUGCAGAACUGGACAGGACAUGGUAAGUGGAACCAAUCCUUGUUGGGGACAGUGUAGGGGUAGGGAAUCUGUAGUUAACUUGUUAGUUUAUGCUUUUGUGUAGAGGGAGCCACAUCCUCAGCUCUGCCCUCCCCAUUUGUUGUCCUGUCAAAGGUGGCCAAGGCCUUUCCAGGUCCCUUGAGUGUUAUAAUAGAAACC
This 858-nucleotide long non-coding RNA is filed under the name Heterocephalus glaber (naked mole-rat). RNAcentral's name for it is "lncRNA (ENSHGLG00000028420.2)". The record is from RNAcentral. Lineage: Eukaryota; Metazoa; Chordata; Mammalia; Rodentia; Bathyergidae.